This is a long non-coding RNA of Carassius auratus (goldfish), 671 nucleotides long. RefSeq lists it as uncharacterized. Lineage: Eukaryota; Metazoa; Chordata; Actinopteri; Cypriniformes; Cyprinidae. The record is from RefSeq and is a predicted model, not a curated record. The transcript is spliced from 3 exons.
CAGGUGAGGCUAAAACAACUGUCGCACCUUUUGUACAAGGUGGCGUUAGUGAUGGCCAGUGGCAUUCAGUUCAGCUUCACUAUUACAACAAGAGAAUUGGCGAGUGAGCAGAAUUCAAUCAGCGAGCGCAAGCACUGAACACUCUGGUGUUUUGACUGCUAAACACUUCAAAUUGGGCUGCAUCAGGUUGCACUGCACAGACGCAGGCGACGUCAAUUCCUCAAGCCCGACUUGCAGCAUUGAGUUUGAAUUUAGAAGAUGACAAUUCAACUCAAACAAAGUUAAGUCUGACACAGAGAAAAGGACCAAUGUGUGUACUUCUAACAUGUUGGUUGGUAAAAUGUUGUAAUUCAAAUCAGAGCAUCUUCCGUGUCUGGAAUGGAUGUAUUCUUGAGUCUAUAAGGUAACAAUAAUAUAAUAUGAUAACCUUGUUUGAAAUGAGUUUGGCUAAAUGAAAAUGUGGGUUUUGUCUAUACUACUAGGUAACUUACUUAUACUACAUUGACUGAGUUAAACAGAUUUGCAUUGCUAAAAAGAGACUAAAAUACAAUUUUCAUUGACUAAAACUAGACUAAAUGUCAUUAGUUUUUUUUUCAACUAAAACUAGACGAAAAUAAUCAUGGAUUAUUCUGACUAAAAUAAAAACUAAAAUGCUCCGGCUUUUAGUUGAC